GACGAACGCUGGCGGCGUGCCUAAUACAUGCAAGUUGAGCGCUGAAGGUUGGUACUUGUACCAACUGGAUGAGCAGCGAACGGGUGAGUAACGCGUGGGGAAUCUGCCUUUGAGCGGGGGACAACAUUUGGAAACGAAUGCUAAUACCGCAUAAAAACUUUAAACACAAGUUUUAAGUUUGAAAGAUGCAAUUGCAUCACUCAAAGAUGAUCCCGCGUUGUAUUAGCUAGUUGGUGAGGUAAAGGCUCACCAAGGCGAUGAUACAUAGCUGACCUGAGAGGGUGAUCGGCCACAUUGGGACUGAGACACGGCCCAAACUCCUACGGGAGGCAGCAGUAGGGAAUCUUCGGCAAUGGACGAAAGUCUGACCGAGCAACGCCGCGUGAGUGAAGAAGGUUUUCGGAUCGUAAAACUCUGUUGGUAGAGAAGAACGUUGGUGAGAGUGGAAAGCUCAUCAAGUGACGGUAACUACCCAGAAAGGGACGGCUAACUACGUG
Molecule: ribosomal RNA, 497 nt
Filed under: uncultured bacterium
Lineage: Bacteria
Description: partial 16S ribosomal RNA
Rfam family: Bacterial small subunit ribosomal RNA
Source: RNAcentral